RNAcentral lists this long non-coding RNA (252 nucleotides) under Sinocyclocheilus anshuiensis. Its description in RNAcentral is "lncRNA (ENSSANG00000028293.1)". Lineage: Eukaryota; Metazoa; Chordata; Actinopteri; Cypriniformes; Cyprinidae. The record is from RNAcentral.
CACAGAAACAGACCAAGAAAUUCCUAUCAAAUCAAGCCAAACGCUCAACGGUGGAAUUUUUGACCCAGGACUGGCAGUUAUUGAUGAUCCAGGUAGCCGAUCCUAUCAGAAGGGCCAGAGGUCCAUGUCCAUGUAAGCAGCCCACCUUCAAGAAAGGGUCAAGAGAAAAUCUGAAGUGCUGGAGCCUUUAUCAAUAUAUAAACCAUGAGUUCCCACUUCCAGACAGCCAUCACUCACAGGAGACACCCAACA